GAACAGCUGGUGGUCUUAACUGCUGAGCCAUCUCUCUGGCCCCUGAAAACCUUUUUAAUAACUUUUCAUUUUCUUUGUUUUACAGUGGUUGCCAUUUGCCAUUUCGCCUCUAUGGUAUUCUAUUUUGCAGGCAAUCAUAGGAAGGAUGAUAUUGUUGCUCCCACAAACAAGACGAUGGGACCUUGAAUAAUGAAAGCCACUUUUGAGCAAAGUCCUGGUUCAAAAGCUAGAGCUAAUCUUCCCCACCUGGAGGGUAAAUGACUGAUUUAAAGGCUGAUGAAACUAAAGCUAACUUUCUCUCUGACUCACCUCCACAGCUGAAAUUCCCGUCUUCAUUGAGUGCAAGCUCCAUAUACUUCAUACCAUUGAUUGAUUUGCUAUCCACUCCAGAAUCCCCCUCAUUAGUGCCUCAGGAAGCCUUACUUUGAAAGAAGGCUUUGCUAAGCUGCCCAUGUUAGCUUUGCCGAGCAGUCAGGAGGCAUACAUGACCACAUGCUGUGAGACUACUAUUGCUAAAGAUGAUAAUUGUAGUCAUCUCUCUUCAUCAAGGAAACUUCUCUUCGAAACAGAUGGAAACCACUACAGAACACCACAACCAAUCAAUAUGCAGGGUUAUGGAACCCAGUCCCAAUGCAUACAUCUGUAAAAACACUCCUGCACCCAAGGCUCAGGGAACAUUGCUGAAGAGGGGAUGGAAAGACUGUAAGAGCCAGAGCAUCAGGGAGUUUGCUAUGAGAUUAUGUCUUCUAGUAACAUCAGAAGCUACACCAAAUGUGAUCUGAACAAGGAUGACACCAAAUGGACAUGCCAAAACAAGGGAAAAGCCCAGGAGGCCUCAACCCUACACAAAGAACUAUAGGCAAUAGAGGAGAGCUGGGAACAAGACAGGUGGUCUUCCCCAGAGAAGAGCACACCAGUUGGUUGUCCUGUGCCAAAUGGUCAGUCCUGAAAACAGGCAUACAAAUAGCAUUAUACAAACUCAAUGGGUUAUAUUUAGGAAUAUAUAUAUAUAUAGGAAUAUAUAUAUAUAUAUAUAUGCAAUAACAAUUAGUGAAA
Non-coding RNA from Cricetulus griseus (Chinese hamster), 1056 nucleotides. Lineage: Eukaryota; Metazoa; Chordata; Mammalia; Rodentia; Cricetidae. The record is from RefSeq and is a predicted model, not a curated record.